AUCUUUCUAGUACUAAAUGUCAGUAUAAGUGACUUCCAAUCACCCGGUCUUGGUUAAAACCCAAGGAAAGAUA
RNAcentral lists this transfer RNA (73 nucleotides) under Cottus asper (prickly sculpin). Its description in RNAcentral is "tRNA-Gly". It matches the Rfam family "tRNA". Rfam says of the family: Transfer RNA (tRNA) molecules are approximately 80 nucleotides in length. RNAcentral also lists the same sequence under 5 other names. The record is from RNAcentral. Lineage: Eukaryota; Metazoa; Chordata; Actinopteri; Perciformes; Cottidae.